RNAcentral lists this long non-coding RNA (2851 nucleotides) under Lynx pardinus (Iberian lynx). Lineage: Eukaryota; Metazoa; Chordata; Mammalia; Carnivora; Felidae. The record is from RNAcentral.
UUCUGCCCCUCCCUCACGGAGACUGUGAGGAGUGUGGUCCUCAGCCAGGUAUUUAAAAGAAGGUCUCACGAGGGGAAACGCUAACACUUUCACUGGGUCUUUGCAUAACCAAGCGAGCAGCCAAAUAAAAGCUCUUCCUAAAAGGAUGUAACAGCCAAAUGUCAUGGGUGAUUCCAGAUUGGAUCCUGAAUUAAAAAAAAAAAAAAACUGUCAAAGAUAUUUUGGGACAAUUGAAGACAGUUGACUAUGGAUUGUAUGCUAAUUAGAUCCUCAUCAUUCAGAAUGUAGGCCACUGACCACACCAGCUGCAUCACCUAGGAGCUUGUAAGAAAUGCAGUGAAGGGUCUAGGUGGCUCCGUCAGUUAAGCAUCCGACUUUGGCUCUGAUCAUGAUCUCAGGGGUUUGUGAGUUUGAGCACUGCAUCAGUCUCUGUGCUGUCAGCGCCAAGCCCCCUUCAAAUACUCUCUUUCCCUGUCUCUCUGCCCCUCACUCGCUCCCGUGCACACAUACUCUUUCUCUCUCAAAAAUAAACAUUAAAAAAUAAAUAAAUAAAUUAUGGGCACCUGGGUGGCUUAGUCAGUUAAGCAUCAGACUUCACCUCAGGUCAUGAUCUUGCAGUUGGUCAGUUAGAGCCUGGAGUCAGGCUCUGUGCUGACAGUUCAGAGCCUGGAAUAUUCUGUGUCUCCCUCUUUUCUCUGCCCCUCCCCCACUAGCACCCUGUCUCUCUCUCUCUCUCUCUCUCUCUCUCUCAAAAUAAAUAAACAUUAAAAAUUUUUUUAAAUAAAUAAGUUUAAAACAAUAGAAAUGCAGCAUCAGUCCCCACCCCACGUCGUUUAUAUGCACAUUAAAGAUUGAGAAGCAUGUGUGUGAGUGCUCGUGCAUAUUCCAAGUAGAAUUCAGAGGUAUGUUUGCAAACCAGACUGAAAGUGAUGCUUUUAAAGGAACUGGAUCGUAGAUUCCUACAAGGCACCAUGGACUGUCCUGCUGGAGCCAUUAGUCUUCUAAGUGGAUAGACCAGGUACGGAGCUAUCUACUGCACCAAGAAGAGGAGGAAUGAUGGAAUUAGACCACCCCACAGGAAGAAGCUCCAGGGACCCAAAGGUGCCUGGGGAUUCAUUGUCACUAUGCGACAAGAAGUCAACAAGGUUAGGAGUUUGGGUGUAUCCCCUUAACUUGGUGGGGAUUUUUUUCCCUCAGUUGGAUGACACAGCUUAAAAUUCCUUCCUUCAUGUGUUGUAAUUCCCUCUGGUUUUCCCCAACCCUUUACUGUGGUUGGACAACACCCCUUCAACUUUGUGUUUUGGUGACAGGGGAGAAGUGAGACCUUCCCUGUGGUCACAGCCCUCAGUGGAGGCCUUUGCAGGGGUAGAAGCAUCCAUGGCAGGGGGCAGGGGGCCCUGGGUUCCAGGCUGCAUUUUCUAGAAGGAGAGUUGGCACGUUGCCACUCCUGGGUCUCAUUUAAGUGUCUCUAUCUCCUUGCGGGUCUGAGCCUUGUAUUCAGGAUUACUAACUCUGAGAACUUGUAAGUGCCAAAUCACAGAAGGGGAAGUGGUCAGGAUGAGCCUCCCCCAAGCCCCAUAUUUCUCUAGCUAUAGAGAAUUUGAGUCAUGUUGGGGCAUUUAUUUCACAUAAAGACUAGCAAAACCAAAAAGAACUGAGAAAUUACCUCUCCCCAUUCUUGUUUCCAAAUUCCAUUCAGGUUUGGAACUUAUUUGAACAAUUUUCAUUUUGAAACAUGAAAAGGUGGAAGAUUCCAGCCUCUUUCUGUUAACAGUAGACAAAGAUAAGCAUCUCUCCACAAAGGUACAAGAUUAUGUUACCCUUCUGGAAUCCUGGUAGCCAAUUCAAGUUGUUUUUGAAGCACAAUGCUACCCAUGAGGCCUAAACCAAAAGAACCAGACAUUCCAGAUUGACUCAAAUAAUUCCAUUUUUUAAAUGUAAUGUUCUGGCACCUCUGUGAUUUCCAUAUUUGUUCCAGUUUUCAUCACACCCUGUGAUACUGAAUGGCAACAUCAGGAACAGAAUGCUUCUUUGAAUAACUCAGCUGCCUUCCUACCUUGUGGCUAUCAGGUGUAGGACACAGUUUGUCAGGAAUUAAAAGAAAACACAAUUUCUAUUCAAGAAUUUAAUUCUCUUUCAACACACAUAAAAACGGGAAAAUUUAUUUUGUGGUUUAUUGUGCGGAGGACAAGUCUUCUAAAAAAACCGAAAGAAGGCAAUUCUCAAUGGAAACUAUGGAUCUUUGAUGAACUUUUUAUUUCUGCAUGAUUUGAGAUUUAUGAAGAGCCAGACUAAAACCUAUUUUGUUUUUCACUGUGUCUUAUAAGUAGGGGAAAAAAUGACAUUAGUAACUAUUGAGCCAUGUGACUCUCAAAUACAUAGUAACUUGGCUUUGUAUUCGCCCACAAUGCUUCUAGAAACCCCACGAUAGAAAGGUUAAAUCCUUUUCAUUUUCUUUGGAACUAUUUGGAAACAUUCACAGCUCAGAGCUGGGAUGUCCAUCCUAUAGUUUAUGUAGCAUAACUGUGUUGUCUCUGAUUCUCCAGAACAAGAGUUUACAACCGAACUGGAAAACAACUGUCCUGCGCUACGUCUAGUCUAGCUAUGUAGGCCAGACUUUAUCAGUUUUUGGUACUGCUUGUGAUAAUUACCUCUUGCCAAACAUGCUUGUCUGAAUUAUUCCAUAAAACAUGCUUGAUAAAUGGACUUAUCAAGACCAUUAGGUCUUGAAGAACUUAAAUUAGUCCCAGAUGACUCUCUUUUCAGUUAAAAGAUAAAUUUAAAUAAAAUGUGAAUGUAAACAUAUUUUCAACUCAGAGUUCUAUUUUAACCACUGAAGCACAUUCUGGCA